This 87-nucleotide non-coding RNA is filed under the name Pseudomonas yamanorum. The record is from RNAcentral. Lineage: Bacteria; Pseudomonadati; Pseudomonadota; Gammaproteobacteria; Pseudomonadales; Pseudomonadaceae.
CUUGAUGGUAGCUGUGCGUAGGGCGUCUUCGGGCGCGCCGGCUUCGACAUUUCCCGGUCUACUAACCUGCGUACAGCUGCCACCCUA